RNAcentral lists this ribosomal RNA (616 nucleotides) under uncultured bacterium. RNAcentral describes it as "bacterial SSU rRNA". It matches the Rfam family "Bacterial small subunit ribosomal RNA", at positions 149 to 750 of the family's 1533-position model. The record is from RNAcentral.
CCGGGAAACCGGGGCUAAUACCGGAUAACAUUUUGAACUGCAUGGUUCGAAAUUGAAAGGCGGCUUCGGCUGUCACUUAUGGAUGGACCCGCGUCGCAUUAGCUAGUUGGUGAGGUAACGGCUCACCAAGGCAACGAUGCGUAGCCGACCUGAGAGGGUGAUCGGCCACACUGGGACUGAGACACGGCCCAGACUCCUACGGGAGGCAGCAGUAGGGAAUCUUCCGCAAUGGACGAAAGUCUGACGGAGCAACGCCGCGUGAGUGAUGAAGGCUUUCGGGUCGUAAAACUCUGUUGUUAGGGAAGAACAAGUGCUAGUUGAAUAAGCUGGCACCUUGACGGUACCUAACCAGAAAGCCACGGCUAACUACGUGCCAGCAGCCGCGGUAAUACGUAGGUGGCAAGCGUUAUCCGGAAUUAUUGGGCGUAAAGCGCGCGCAGGUGGUUUCUUAAGUCUGAUGUGAAAGCCCACGGCUCAACCGUGGAGGGUCAUUGGAAACUGGGAGACUUGAGUGCAGAAGAGGAAAGUGGAAUUCCAUGUGUAGCGGUGAAAUGCGUAGAGAUAUGGAGGAACACCAGUGGCGAAGGCGACUUUCUGGUCUGUAACUGACACUGAG